GUCUCCCCAGCCAGCUGCAGGCCCCGCAGCACCCUUCCUGCUCUCCCUGGCAGGGUGGGUGUGCAGCCAGAGCAGUAUGGCUAUACAGAACAUAGCCUCCACUGGGAAGUCAGUGUUUGCCAGCAAAUAGCAUAAGGUUUUCAUUUGGUUUAAUUGCCUCAGAGUCAGUCUCCUAAUUUGCAUUUUAGAUCAGAGACCCCAAAGUCCUCAGCCCAGGAGAAAGUGCUACAGAGGAAGGAUGAAACAAAGACAGGUCCUGGAGCACUGGUUGUGCUGCCUGGUGUCUUGCAGCAGUGCUGCCUUGGAGCUACUUCUUCUGCCCUCUGAAUGGUGUGAAAAUGACCAAAAACCAAAGGGCCCAGCCUGCCUCUGGAAGGGUAAAAAGCUGUUGGAGCAUUGCUUGAUUGAAGAGGCUGAGGAUGGUGCCUGAUUUCCUGCAUCCACAUCCUGGGAAAGCAGUUGGAAAUUGAUCCUGGUUUGGUCAUCCACUGAUGAGCUAAUUUUUAACACCAAGCAUCAAUGUGCCAGUUCCUCGGGGAGCCUGUGAGCAGCAAGUCAGCCAGCAGCCUGGAUCGUUCUUCUGCACCCAUUGUUAUGGAAAUUGCCUCAGAGACAGUUGCUCCAGCAAACAUUUUUAGAAGCUUGAGUGAGCUGUGCAACAGCAAAACUACUCUGGAGGUUAGCUCACGCUCAUCACCACUGCCUGCUGUGGAGCCGGACCAGAUCUCCAGCCCAUGCCCAGGAGCCCUGAGCAGCCUCAGCUGAUGGAAGGGAAAAGCAUGGAUCCAGUGACCUUUGUUUGCAUAACUGCUGCCCACAGUCCCUGCCUGACAUUUGAGGAGCGGCCGUGAGUGCUGCAGGGGUGCACGGUGAUGGGGUGCUGGGCAGGGCAGGUGAACCUCAUCCUUGCUGGCAGAGUGCCAGGCUGAGCCCUGACCCUUCCUUUCUCUCUCUGGAAGUCACAGUGGACUCUCGUGGUGGUGUCUCACCAGGAAUCAAGGACAAGAGACGUCUCCCCGCUCCUUGCUGGCCAGGCAGAGGGACUGACCACAGUUUGUCUAUUCCCAGGGCUGUUUUGCUGCCCACAGCAAUGGAGCCAGAGCAGAGUGGAGUGUGUUUGGCUCUGUGGAAUGUUGUGUCACUCACUGCAGGUGCCAUGGGACUGAGCAAGAGGGAGCUCACAGGCUGGGGCUGGGAGGGGACCUUGUCAUCCCAGUGGAGAUGCCAGCAGUCACGAGGGGUGGCAAGGUGCCACCAAACAGCCUGGGCCACACUGGCCUGCCAGCUCCCCAGUUUCAGCCUGGCUGCUCCUCAGCAUGCCCCCAGCAGUGCCUGGGGUGGGGAAGGACGACUCCAUCCCAUCCCAGGCCUGCCUCCUCUGGCUUUUCCAAGCUGGCUGGUAUUAAUGCCUCCAGGCACUUCCUGCAGGACCACAGUGCCAAGUGCUGCAGAUGCUGUUGAAGCCGCUGAGCAUCCUGACCUUUACACUGGUGAGUUGCCCAGCUUUGCAGCCAGUACAGCUAAAGGGUGUCUUUCUCCCUGAACCUUGGGGACUCUUCAUGCCAAGGAUCCUCGAUGUUGCCAACCCCCAAAGCUCAACAGCCAGAAGCACGAGAUCAGCAUAAGCCCCCAAGUUUCCUUUAAUAAAGAAAAUUUCAGGGGAGGAUGAGGAAGGCUAAUUCUUUGUAUUUUGUAUUCUGAACCAUUUGUGCUUAUUUUACCUCCCGUGCAGUACUUUGUCUGCUGCACUUGUGCUGGCUGGACGCUCCCUUUUAUUUUGUUUUGUUUGCAUUUAAUGUGAAAACUGAGCUUUUUGGGGCAAGAAGCUGAAGCUUGGCCACAGAAACUGAGCCCUGGGCUGUGCCUGACUAUGAAAGUCAGAUGCCUUUGCUGGACAUCUUGCUGCUUUAGCUGCAGAUAGCAGGGAAGAGCACUUUAAUAUUUAUCCUGAGCUAAAAAAACAAGUAGAAUGGAGAAAAAUAUACAAAGUAGGCCAUGAAAACAGGGUUGGUGAACAUCUGAGAUCCGCUCCUAAUUAAUAGCAGUUCCCAUCCCAGAAAUCAUACCAUUCAGCAAAAGUUAAUCAUCUUUGCUCAUACAUACAAUACACUUCAAGAGAGAAUGAGUCACCCUCAUUGAAAUGUCUAAUGUUAUGAAAUCCAGUGUGACUGAUGUAACAGACCCGGCUGAGCUCUCCAAAUUGGCCAGCAGCACCAGGCUGUGUGUGACCUGACUUCAUUGAGUCUGCUUGUUUCUACCCAGGAUGGAUUUUCCCUUUAGUUACUGGAACAGGCUCAUGGCAAAGGACCCAAGAAGGACGUGGGAGGGCAGGUGAGUGGGGCAGGAGGGGCUGGCAUUGCCAAGCCCCUGUAGUCCUCACUUCCCACCGUGGAGCUGCCUAUCCCCACUCUUGGGAGCCCACAAAGCACAGAGGCCCCGAUCCUGCAAAUAUCUGGGCACCCACGUAAUUCACAGCUCAUUGGGGUGCCUGGGACCAGCACUUUAAUAACAUCACUCUGCAUGCUUAACCAUUCACAGGCCUGGGGAUUUAUUCUUCCCUACUUCGUUCAGAGAGGAAUGUAGGUUGAAUUCAGCAUUAAGAUUCUGCAUUGAUAUCAGCUGUUCCCUCUUAAAUUAAAUAUUAUUACCUGCAAACAUUUCCUUUUAGCACUGGGAGCCGUUUGCUUGGUGUACUUU
Molecule: long non-coding RNA, 2697 nt
Organism: Myiozetetes cayanensis
Lineage: Eukaryota; Metazoa; Chordata; Aves; Passeriformes; Tyrannidae
Exons: 3
Source: RefSeq, a predicted model, not a curated record